RNAcentral lists this ribosomal RNA (2920 nucleotides) under Bacillus cereus. RNAcentral's name for it is "23S ribosomal RNA". It matches the Rfam family "Bacterial large subunit ribosomal RNA". The record is from RNAcentral. Lineage: Bacteria; Bacillati; Bacillota; Bacilli; Caryophanales; Bacillaceae.
GGUUAAGUUAGAAAGGGCGCACGGUGGAUGCCUUGACACUAGGAGUCGAUGAAGGACGGGACUAACGCCGAUAUGCUUCGGGGAGCUGUAAGUAAGCUUUGAUCCGAAGAUUUCCGAAUGGGGAAACCCACCAUACGUAAUGGUAUGGUAUCCUUAUCUGAAUACAUAGGGUAAGGAAGACAGACCCAGGGAACUGAAACAUCUAAGUACCUGGAGGAAGAGAAAGCAAAUGCGAUUUCCUGAGUAGCGGCGAGCGAAACGGAACAUAGCCCAAACCAAGAGGCUUGCCUCUUGGGGUUGUAGGACAUUCUAUACGGAGUUACAAAGGAACGAGGUAGACGAAGCGACCUGGAAAGGUCCGUCGUAGAGGGUAACAACCCCGUAGUCGAAACUUCGUUCUCUCUUGAAUGUAUCCUGAGUACGGCGGAACACGUGAAAUUCCGUCGGAAUCUGGGAGGACCAUCUCCCAAGGCUAAAUACUCCCUAGUGAUCGAUAGUGAACCAGUACCGUGAGGGAAAGGUGAAAAGCACCCCGGAAGGGGAGUGAAAGAGAUCCUGAAACCGUGUGCCUACAAAUAGUCAGAGCCCGUUAACGGGUGAUGGCGUGCCUUUUGUAGAAUGAACCGGCGAGUUACGAUCCCGUGCGAGGUUAAGCUGAAGAGGCGGAGCCGCAGCGAAAGCGAGUCUGAAUAGGGCGUUUAGUACGUGGUCGUAGACCCGAAACCAGGUGAUCUACCCAUGUCCAGGGUGAAGUUCAGGUAACACUGAAUGGAGGCCCGAACCCACGCACGUUGAAAAGUGCGGGGAUGAGGUGUGGGUAGCGGAGAAAUUCCAAUCGAACCUGGAGAUAGCUGGUUCUCCCCGAAAUAGCUUUAGGGCUAGCCUUAAGUGUAAGAGUCUUGGAGGUAGAGCACUGAUUGGACUAGGGGUCCUCAUCGGAUUACCGAAUUCAGUCAAACUCCGAAUGCCAAUGACUUAUCCUUAGGAGUCAGACUGCGAGUGAUAAGAUCCGUAGUCAAAAGGGAAACAGCCCAGACCGCCAGCUAAGGUCCCAAAGUGUGUAUUAAGUGGAAAAGGAUGUGGAGUUGCUUAGACAACUAGGAUGUUGGCUUAGAAGCAGCCACCAUUUAAAGAGUGCGUAAUAGCUCACUAGUCGAGUGACUCUGCGCCGAAAAUGUACCGGGGCUAAAUACACCACCGAAGCUGCGGAUUGAUACCAAUGGUAUCAGUGGUAGGGGAGCGUUCUAAGGACAGUGAAGUCAGACCGGAAGGACUGGUGGAGUGCUUAGAAGUGAGAAUGCCGGUAUGAGUAGCGAAAGACGGGUGAGAAUCCCGUCCACCGAAUGCCUAAGGUUUCCUGAGGAAGGCUCGUCCGCUCAGGGUUAGUCAGGACCUAAGCCGAGGCCGACAGGCGUAGGCGAUGGACAACAGGUUGAUAUUCCUGUACCACCUCUUUAUCGUUUGAGCAAUGGAGGGACGCAGAAGGAUAGAAGAAGCGUGCGAUUGGUUGUGCACGUCCAAGCAGUUAGGCUGAUAAGUAGGCAAAUCCGCUUAUCAUAAAGGCUGAGCUGUGAUGGGGAAGCUCCUUAUGGAGCGAAGUCUUUGAUUCCCCGCUGCCAAGAAAAGCUUCUAGCGAGAUAAAAGGUGCCUGUACCGCAAACCGACACAGGUAGGCGAGGAGAGAAUCUAAGGUGUGCGAGAGAACUCUGGUUAAGGAACUCGGCAAAAUGACCCCGUAACUUCGGGAGAAGGGGUGCUUUCUUAACGGAAAGCCGCAGUGAAUAGGCCCAAGCGACUGUUUAGCAAAAACACAGCUCUCUGCGAAGCCGUAAGGCGAAGUAUAGGGGGUGACACCUGCCCGGUGCUGGAAGGUUAAGGAGAGGGGUUAGCGUAAGCGAAGCUCUGAACUGAAGCCCCAGUAAACGGCGGCCGUAACUAUAACGGUCCUAAGGUAGCGAAAUUCCUUGUCGGGUAAGUUCCGACCCGCACGAAAGGUGUAACGAUUUGGGCACUGUCUCAACCAGAGACUCGGUGAAAUUAUAGUACCUGUGAAGAUGCAGGUUACCCGCGACAGGACGGAAAGACCCCGUGGAGCUUUACUGUAGCCUGAUAUUGAAUUUUGGUACAGUUUGUACAGGAUAGGCGGGAGCCUUUGAAACCGGAGCGCUAGCUUCGGUGGAGGCGCUGGUGGGAUACCGCCCUGACUGUAUUGAAAUUCUAACCUACGGGUCUUAUCGACCCGGGAGACAGUGUCAGGUGGGCAGUUUGACUGGGGCGGUCGCCUCCUAAAGUGUAACGGAGGCGCCCAAAGGUUCCCUCAGAAUGGUUGGAAAUCAUUCGUAGAGUGCAAAGGCAUAAGGGAGCUUGACUGCGAGACCUACAAGUCGAGCAGGGACGAAAGUCGGGCUUAGUGAUCCGGUGGUUCCGCAUGGAAGGGCCAUCGCUCAACGGAUAAAAGCUACCCCGGGGAUAACAGGCUUAUCUCCCCAAGAGUCCACAUCGACGGGGAGGUUUGGCACCUCGAUGUCGGCUCAUCGCAUCCUGGGGCUGUAGUCGGUCCCAAGGGUUGGGCUGUUCGCCCAUUAAAGCGGUACGCGAGCUGGGUUCAGAACGUCGUGAGACAGUUCGGUCCCUAUCCGUCGUGGGCGUAGGAAAUUUGAGAGGAGCUGUCCUUAGUACGAGAGGACCGGGAUGGACGCACCGCUGGUGUACCAGUUGUUCUGCCAAGGGCAUAGCUGGGUAGCUAUGUGCGGAAGGGAUAAGUGCUGAAAGCAUCUAAGCAUGAAGCCCCCCUCAAGAUGAGAUUUCCCAUAGCGUAAGCUAGUAAGAUCCCUGAAAGAUGAUCAGGUUGAUAGGUUCGAGGUGGAAGCAUGGUGACAUGUGGAGCUGACGAAUACUAAUAGAUCGAGGACUUAACCAU